Molecule: ribosomal RNA, 253 nt
Filed under: uncultured bacterium
Lineage: Bacteria
Description: partial 16S ribosomal RNA
Rfam family: Bacterial small subunit ribosomal RNA
Source: RNAcentral
UACGGAGGGUGCAAGCGUUGUCCGGAAUUAUUGGGUUUAAAGGGCGUGUAGGUGGUUAAGUCAGUCAGAGCUGAAAUCGUUGUGCUCAACACAAUACCCGGCUUUGAUACUGCUUAACUUGAGAUAUGUAUGGGUAGGCGGAAUUCCUCAUGUAGCGGUGAAAUGCAUAGAUAUGAGGAGGAAGACCGAAGGAGAAGUCAGCUUACUGGACAUUAUCUGACACUGAGGCGCGAAAGCGUGGGGAGCGAACAGG